UUAAGCGACUAAGCGUACACGGUGGAUGCCCUGGCAGUCAGAGGCGAUGAAGGACGUGCUAAUCUGCGAAAAGCGUCGGUAAGGUGAUAUGAACCGUUACAGCCGGCGAUGUCCGAAUGGGGAAACCCAGUGCAAUUCGUUGCACUAUCGUUAACUGAAUACAUAGGUUAACGAGGCGAACCGGGGGAACUGAAACAUCUAAGUACCCCGAGGAAAAGAAAUCAACCGAGAUUCCCCCAGUAGCGGCGAGCGAACGGGGAGCAGCCCGGAGUCUGAAUCAGCUUGUGUGUUAGUGGAAGCGUCUGGAAAGUCGCAGGGUACAGGGUGAUACUCCCGUACACUAAAACACACAGGUUGUGAACUCGAAGAGUAGGGCGGGACACGUGGUAUCCUGUCUGAAUAUGGGGGGACCAUCCUCCAAGGCUAAAUACUCCUGACUGACCGAUAGUGAACCAGUACCGUGAGGGAAAGGCGAAAAGAACCCCGGCGAGGGGAGUGAAAAAGAACCUGAAACCGUGUACGUACAAGCAGUAGGAGCCCCACCACCAAAGCGUUUCGCUUUGCGUGGUGCGCAAAAUGCGUAACGACAGCGCGAUGGACGGUUAACGGAGCGUAAGCGACGUUCAACAUCAAAAAUCAGGCAGUGGAGCGUUUUGGGGUGGGGUGACUGCGUACCUUUUGUAUAAUGGGUCAGCGACUUAUAUUCUGUAGCAAGGUUAACCGUAUAGGGGAGCCGCAGGGAAACCGAGUCUUAACUGGGCGUUAAGUUGCAGGGUAUAGACCCGAAACCCGGUGAUCUAGCCAUGGGCAGGUUGAAGGUUGGGUAACACUAACUGGAGGACCGAACCGACUAAUGUUGAAAAAUUAGCGGAUGACUUGUGGCUGGGGGUGAAAGGCCAAUCAAACCGGGAGAUAGCUGGUUCUCCCCGAAAGCUAUUUAGGUAGCGCCUCGUGAAUUCAUCUUCGGGGGUAGAGCACUGUUUCGGCUAGGGGGUCAUCCCGACUUACCAACCCGAUGCAAACUACGAAUACCGAAGAAUGUUAUCACGGGAGACACACGGCGGGUGCUAACGUCCGUCGUGAAGAGGGAAACAACCCAGACCGCCAGCUAAGGUCCCAAAGUCAUGGUUAAGUGGGAAACGAUGUGGGAAGGCCCAGACAGCCAGGAUGUUGGCUUAGAAGCAGCCAUCAUUUAAAGAAAGCGUAAUAGCUCACUGGUCGAGUCGGCCUGCGCGGAAGAUGUAACGGGGCUAAACCAUGCACCGAAGCUGCGGCAGCGACACUAUGUGUUGUUGGGUAGGGGAGCGUUCUGUAAGCCGUUGAAGGUGGCCUGUGAGGGUUGCUGGAGGUAUCAGAAGUGCGAAUGCUGACAUAAGUAACGAUAAUGCGGGUGAAAAACCCGCACGCCGGAAGACCAAGGGUUCCUGUCCAACGUUAAUCGGGGCAGGGUGAGUCGACCCCUAAGGCGAGGCCGAAAGGCGUAGUCGAUGGGAAACAGGUUAAUAUUCCUGUACUCGGUGUUACUGCGAAGGGGGGACGGAGAAGGCUAUGUUGGCCGGGCGACGGUUGUCCCGGUUUAAGCAUGUAGGCGGAUGUUCCAGGUAAAUCCGGAACGUCACUAACGCUGAGGUGUGAUGACGAGGCACUACGGUGCUGAAGUGACAAAUGCCCUGCUUCCAGGAAAAGCCUCUAAGCAUCAGGUAACAUCAAAUCGUACCCCAAACCGACACAGGUGGUCAGGUAGAGAAUACCAAGGCGCUUGAGAGAACUCGGGUGAAGGAACUAGGCAAAAUGGUGCCGUAACUUCGGGAGAAGGCACGCUGAUGGUAGGUGAAGCGACUUGCUCGUGGAGCUGAAAUCAGUCGAAGAUACCAGCUGGCUGCAACUGUUUAUUAAAAACACAGCACUGUGCAAACACGAAAGUGGACGUAUACGGUGUGACGCCUGCCCGGUGCCGGAAGGUUAAUUGAUGGGGUUAUCCGUAAGGAGAAGCUCUUGAUCGAAGCCCCGGUAAACGGCGGCCGUAACUAUAACGGUCCUAAGGUAGCGAAAUUCCUUGUCGGGU
Molecule: ribosomal RNA, 2065 nt
Filed under: human gut metagenome
Description: bacterial LSU rRNA
Rfam family: Bacterial large subunit ribosomal RNA
Source: RNAcentral